Molecule: long non-coding RNA, 558 nt
Filed under: Equus caballus (horse)
Lineage: Eukaryota; Metazoa; Chordata; Mammalia; Perissodactyla; Equidae
Description: lncRNA (ENSECAG00000051051.1)
Source: RNAcentral
CAAGAAGUUGUAAGGUGAUCAGUGCCAGAAUUGACCUGGGAUCCAUAGAAGAGAACCACAGCCUGCUUUCAGAGAAAGCUGCCUCCUGGGGCCAGCCACCUUUCCAAAGGGGUACGGAGAGGCAGCAUUCAGCAGAACCAGGCAUUAUGGCUUCAGCUUUUGCUGUCUUGGAACCCUGAGACCACCGUGGUGUGAAAGAGUCCAGGAUGAAAAACCAAAGACGGAGAGAGUCCCAGACAUCCUAACUGAGACUCCAGAUGCGUGAAAAAGGCCAUCUUAGACCAUCCCGUCACGAUGAAGGCAAAUAAAUUCUAGUCUCAAGAUUUACUUCUGGGGAAGCCACAUCAAGACAUCUACUUAAGAUGUCCCCGUCCCUCACGUGUCAAUUCCAAUCUAGUCCCACAUGCCUUCAAUUUUAGACUCUAAACAUCUCCUGAAUCCUUUUAUAUUUCUUUUACUUUCGACCUACUUAUGUUGUAUUUGAAGUGAGUUUCUUACAGAAGCGUAUUAUUGGACUGUGUUUUUUUCUUGUUGUUGUCUUGUUUGUUGUCUAGUCUG